Molecule: RNA transcript, 1681 nt
Organism: Hordeum vulgare subsp. vulgare (domesticated barley)
Lineage: Eukaryota; Viridiplantae; Streptophyta; Magnoliopsida; Poales; Poaceae
Gene name: 3-hydroxyisobutyryl-CoA hydrolase 1-like
Exons: 15
Source: RefSeq, a predicted model, not a curated record
GAUUUGUGGCAGUAGAUGUCCCUACGGAACUGGCAACCCAACCGCGGCGUCCAACUCCUUCCCUCGCCGCAACCUGGCUUUGGGGUCCAACUUGAAAGGCUCCACUGGUCCAGCCGCUUCGCUUCACCGGCCGACGACAUGGCAUCACCGGCGAGCAGCGAUUCCGACCAGGUACUGGUGGAAGCAAAUGGCUCUACACGGACACUUAUUUUGAAUAGGCCAAAGCAGUUGAAUGCCCUCUCCUCUGCAAUGGUUACAGGACUUCUGAAAUGUUUCACUUCUUAUGAGGAAGAAAACACAGUUAAACUAUUGAUUGUCAAGGGAAAUGGAAGAGCAUUUUGCGCAGGAGGUGAUGUUGCUGAAGUCGCCCAAUCUAUAAAUAAUGAUAGCUGGAAAUAUGGUGCUGAUUUUUUCCGUACUGAAUUUCUGUUGAACUAUAUCAUUGCAACUUAUAGCAAACCACAGGUUUCUCUACUUACUGGAAUAGUCAUGGGUGGAGGUGCUGGUGUUUCUAUACAUGGAAGGUUUCGGGUUGCCACGGAGAACACGGUUUUUGCAAUGCCAGAAACAGCACUGGGACUCUUCCCAGAUAUAGGGGCUUCUUAUUUUCUUUCUAGACUACCUGGGUUCUAUGGAGAGUAUGUUGGCCUUACCGGUGCAAGAUUGGAUGGUGCGGAAAUGCUUGCAUGUGGCUUGGCGACUCAUUUUGUCCCUUUGAACAGGAUGUCACUGCUUGAAGAAUCACUUAAAAGGGUGGACGCUUCUGAUCCAUUUGCUAUAUGUGGAAUUAUUGAUCAAUUUUCAAAACAGCCAUCCUUAAAAGGAAGUAGUUCUCUGAAUAGGAUGGACAUCAUCAACAGAUGCUUCUCCAAAGGAACAGUCGAAGAAAUCAUAUCCACUCUUGAACAAGAAGCUCCAAGUGUGUCUGAUAAAUUGGUUACUGCUGCAAUCCAGUCAUUGCGGAAGGCCUCUCCUACUAGUCUGAAAAUCUCUCUCGCAUCGAUAAGAGAAGGGAGGCUGCAAACUGUUGGUGAGUGCUUGCGCCGAGAAUAUAGAAUGGUUUGCCAUGUGAUGCGCGGUGACUUCAGCAGAGACUUCUUUGAGGGAUGUAGGGCGAUACUGGUAGAUAAAGAUCGAAACCCAAAGUGGAUGCCGCCAACUCUGGAUCAAGUGCAUGACGGGGUAGUUGCAAACUACUUCUCCAAGGUCGAUGAUCCACAUUGGGAAGAUUUGAACCUACCAACUAGGUCUUCCCAUGGAAGAAGAAUUGUUCCCAAGCUCUGAUGGAAGUCUCAUGCGGAGGAUUCAGAUGAAGCCUGGAUGGGUGCUCGUGAGUAAACGGGCAAGUGUUGAGUGAUACUCCUAUAUAAUCCUGGCCGCGGUCGCCCUCCAGAUGGCUGAAGCUUAUAGUACAGACUACCGGCUUUCACGGUGCAAUGGCAGCAUAUUUAUACGGCCCGCUGGUCCCCUGAUGGCGGCCCAUUGGCGGCAUACACACGUACAGUGGUCCAUCCACAGAUUCAACAACUUCUAUAGUUUAUUUUGUUUGAUUGAGUGGUUCCAUAGUUUAUUUUUUAAACAAAAGAAUAAUAGCUUACGCACUUGUAUAACCUAACCCCUCUUCCGACGGCCAGCUCACCGGGUGACUAUAAAAUAAGACCAUCAUGCCUUUCUUGACGAA